RNAcentral lists this ribosomal RNA (520 nucleotides) under uncultured bacterium. RNAcentral describes it as "partial 16S ribosomal RNA". It matches the Rfam family "Bacterial small subunit ribosomal RNA", at positions 28 to 507 of the family's 1533-position model. The record is from RNAcentral.
GACGAACGCUGGCGGCGUGCCUAAUACAUGCAAGUCGAACGCACUCUCGUUUAGAUUGAAGGAGUUUGCUCCUGAUUGAUCAACAUUUGAGUGAGUGGCGGACGGGUGAGUAACACGUGGGUAACCUGCCCUAAAGUGGGGGAUAACAUUUGGAAACAGAUGCUAAUACCGCAUAAAACCUAACACCGCAUGGUGUAGGGUUGAAAGAUGGUUUCGGCUAUCACUUUAGGAUGGACCCGCGGUGCAUUAGUUAGUUGGUGAGGUAAAGGCUCACCAAGACCGUGAUGCAUAGCCGACCUGAGAGGGUAAUCGGCCACACUGGGACUGAGGCACGGCCCAGACUCCUACGGGAGGCAGCAGUAGGGAAUCUUCCACAAUGGACGAAAGUCUGAUGGAGCAACGCCGCGUGAGUGAAGAAGGUUUUCGGAUCGUAAAACUCUGUUGUUGGAGAAGAAUGUAUCUGAUAGUAACUGAUCAGGUAGUGACGGUAUCCAACCAGAAAGCCACGGCUAACUACGUG